UACUAUACUUCUUCCAAGAAUAUUAUGAUAUACUACACUGUUAUAUAUAUAUAUAUCCGAAGAAUCCCAAAAGGUGCCACACAUACCCCUUUGCUAUACCUGACUUUACCGUUACCGGAUAAUAGAAACACCGGAUUUGUGUGUUAGGCUGUCCCACUGAACUGCUCCAGUAUCUACAAGCGCUGAAUUACUUCUCUUUUUCCAACUUAGAAACCGGCUACUUUACCUUAUUAGCUUAUCUUCCUGAAAGCAGUCACAAGCAGUAGGAGAAUGAUAAUUGGUUUCCUGUAGUUCAGUUCUUCUUUUUAUCUAAACUCACUAUGUAGAUAACCCAUAUAGCAAGUUACACAGUAUUAUUUAAACACAGAACUGUCGG
Non-coding RNA from Pelobates cultripes (western spadefoot toad), 376 nucleotides. Lineage: Eukaryota; Metazoa; Chordata; Amphibia; Anura; Pelobatidae. The record is from the annotation of a GenBank genome assembly.